GAUGAAGAACGUAGCGAAAUGCGAUAAGUAGUGUGAAUUGCAGAAUUCAGUGAAUCAUCGAAUCUUUGAACGCACAUUGCGCCCCUCGGUAUUCCGUGGGGCAUGCCUGUUCGAGCGUCAUUUAACCCCCCAAGCCUAGCUUGGUAUUGGGUGCUUGUCCCGCCUCUCGCGCGGCGACUCACCUCAAAGUCAUUGGCAGCCCGCAUCUCGCCGGCCGUGAGCGCAGCACAGACGCGCUCUUGGCAACGACGGAUCGGCUCUCCAAAAGCUUAUUUCAACCACUGACCUCGGAUCAGGUAGGGAUACCCGCUGAACUUAAGCAUAUCAAUAAGCGGAGGA
Molecule: unclassified non-coding RNA, 339 nt
Filed under: soil metagenome
Description: partial contains 5.8S ribosomal RNA, internal transcribed spacer 2, and large subunit ribosomal RNA
Rfam family: 5.8S ribosomal RNA (bases 1-120)
Source: RNAcentral